RNAcentral lists this long non-coding RNA (560 nucleotides) under Homo sapiens (human). RNAcentral describes it as "HSALNT0206311". The record is from RNAcentral. Lineage: Eukaryota; Metazoa; Chordata; Mammalia; Primates; Hominidae.
CUAAAAUUGAAGACAAGAUGCUUGCCAUAACUCCAUGGCUAAAUUGUGAACUACAUUUUCAAGAAUGUGCAGGCAAGCAAGAAAGACACAGAAUAACAUUGAGAGAAAUAGAGAUCAUUGUGCAAGGAGAAGCCUAUGAAUAAAAAUUAGCUGGAAAGUCAGUCAUUAUGUCAGAACAAACAUCUUCUAAGAAGAAAAUUCUGAUUGAUUUCCACAUAAUCACUCUGAUUGUGGAGUCAGCCUGAGCCACACAUGAGCCAGCUCUUCCACUGCUGUUGACUGCGCCUGCAAACAACCAAGAAAACAUAAAUCAGGGAGAGGAAAUGACUAAAGUAUGGAUUUAAAUGUUCCUAUUUUUACAAGGCUGUAGGCUCCACAUUUUUGUUGACUAUUUUAAUGAUACCAGCAACAAUUUGGGGCAGCCAUCCUGGUAAUGUCUCUUAACCUUUUCUGUCAUUUAUGGGAAGCAGUUUGCAGGUACUUCAUGAUCAGAGAAAGAACUUGACCAAUUUAUUCUUUAGUAUUUAGUUCAAAAGAGAGCUAUAAAAACUGUUUUUUUU